GAUGAACGCUGGCGGCGUGCCUAAUACAUGCAAGUCGAGCGAACAGACGAGGAGCUUGCUCCUCUGACGUUAGCGGCGGACGGGUGAGUAACACGUGGAUAACCUACCUAUAAGACUGGGAUAACUUCGGGAAACCGGAGCUAGUACCGGAUAACAUGUUGAACCGCAUGGUUCAACAGUGAAAGACGGUCUUGCUGUCACUUAUAGAUGGAUCCGCGCCGCAUUAGCUAGUUGGUAAGGUAACGGCUUACCAAGGCAACGAUGCGUAGCCGACCUGAGAGGGUGAUCGGCCACACUGGAACUGAGACACGGUCCAGACUCCUACGGGAGGCAGCAGUAGGGAAUCUUCCGCAAUGGGCGAAAGCCUGACGGAGCAACGCCGCGUGAGUGAAGAAGGCCUUCGGAUCGUAAAACUCUGUUAUUAGGGAAGAACAAAUGUGUAAGUAACUAUGCACGUCUUGACGGUACCUAAUCAGAAAGCCACGGCUAACUACGUG
RNAcentral lists this ribosomal RNA (497 nucleotides) under uncultured bacterium. RNAcentral's name for it is "partial 16S ribosomal RNA". It matches the Rfam family "Bacterial small subunit ribosomal RNA", at positions 28 to 507 of the family's 1533-position model. The record is from RNAcentral.